UUGGUUCUUUGUUUCUUUUUUUCUUUUCCUUUUUCGUUUUU
Molecule: non-coding RNA, 41 nt
Filed under: Chromera velia
Lineage: Eukaryota; Chromeraceae
Source: RNAcentral